GACGAACGCUGGCGGCAUGCCUAAUACAUGCAAGUCGAGCGAACAGAUGAAGUGCUUGCACUUCUGACGUUAGCGGCGAACGGGUGAGUAACACGUAAGGAAUCUACCUAUAAGCGGGGGAUAACAUUCGGAAACGGGUGCUAAUACCGCAUAGUAUCUUCUUCCGCAUGGAAGAAGAUUGAAAGACGGCUCUGCUGUCACUUAUAGAUGACCUUGCGGUGCAUUAGUUAGUUGGUGGGGUAAUGGCCUACCAAGACAAUGAUGCAUAGCCGAACUGAGAGGGUGAUCGGCCACAUGGGGACUGAGGCACGGCCCAAACUCCUACGGGAGGCAGCAGUAGGGAAUCUUCCGCAAUGGGCGAAAGCCUGACGGAGCAAUGCCGCGUGAGUGAAGAAGGCCUUCGGGUCGUAAAACUCUGUUAUAAGAAAAGAACAAAUUGUAUAGUAACUGCUACAGUCUUGACGGUAUCUUAUCAGAAAGCCACGGCUAACUACGUGCCAGCAGCCGCGGUAA
Molecule: ribosomal RNA, 513 nt
Filed under: uncultured bacterium
Lineage: Bacteria
Description: partial 16S ribosomal RNA
Rfam family: Bacterial small subunit ribosomal RNA
Source: RNAcentral